RNAcentral lists this ribosomal RNA (393 nucleotides) under uncultured bacterium. RNAcentral describes it as "bacterial SSU rRNA". It matches the Rfam family "Bacterial small subunit ribosomal RNA", at positions 32 to 418 of the family's 1533-position model. The record is from RNAcentral.
AAUCAACGCUGGCGGCGUGCCUCAGACAUGCAAGUCGAACGAUUAAGACUCUCUUCGGAGAGUGCAUAAAGUGGCGCACGGGUGAGUAACACGUAAGUAAUCUACCGUUUGGGUGGGGAAUAACAGUCGGAAACGACUGCUAAUACCGCAUAAUGCAGCGGCUCCUUAUGGAGACAGUUGUUAAAGAUUUAUCGCCUAAAGAGGAGCUUGCGGCAGAUUAGCAGUUGGUAAGGUAACGGCUUACCAAGGCGACGAUCUGUAUCCGACCUGAGAGGGUGGUCGGACACACUGACACUGAAUAACGGGUCAGACUCCUACGGGAGGCAGCAGUCGGGAAUUUGGGCAAUGGGCGAAAGCCUGACCCAGCAACGCCGCGUGAAGGAUGAAGUCUUU